GCCUGGCGCCCUUAGGCUUCAGUAAAUAAACUAAUGAUAAGAGCAGCUACAAUAAUAGGCUUAUAGCCAAGCUAAUACGGAUAUGGAAAAGAGAAAAAAAGGAGAGAUAUGAUAGUUUGGCUCUCAUACAAGCACCAAGUUGGACACGGAUAUAUAGAUAGUGAUGGACCUAAAUAGCAAGUGAUGUGAGAAGAAAUAGAAAAAAAAGUGUUUUAAGACAAUUAUG
RNAcentral lists this long non-coding RNA (226 nucleotides) under Sorghum bicolor (sorghum). Its description in RNAcentral is "long non-coding RNA (SBIC_LNC007595)". Lineage: Eukaryota; Viridiplantae; Streptophyta; Magnoliopsida; Poales; Poaceae. The record is from RNAcentral.